Molecule: microRNA precursor, 103 nt
Filed under: Marmota monax (woodchuck)
Lineage: Eukaryota; Metazoa; Chordata; Mammalia; Rodentia; Sciuridae
Source: RNAcentral
AGUGGAAUAGCUGGGUCACAUGGUGGUUCCAUUUCUUGUCUUUUGAGGAAUCUCCAUACUGCUUUCCAGGGUGGUUGUAUUAAUUUGCAGUCCUACCAACUGU